This is a long non-coding RNA of Gouania willdenowi (blunt-snouted clingfish), 1676 nucleotides long. NCBI's taxonomy places the organism in Eukaryota, Metazoa, Chordata, Actinopteri, Blenniiformes, Gobiesocidae. The record is from Ensembl.
GCCAAGUUUCGAGGAUGUAGAAAAGAACACAGAUAGGAGGGCUAGAGAUGAUACGUCAGUGUGAUAACAAGGUCAUAAAGGCAUUUAUCUGAGAGGGAAGAGAAGAAAAUCAUCAGUACCCGCAUUCGGUGAGAAACUCAGCUUCCCUCUGGGCGUUUUCUCAAGUUCGUGGAGGAAAUUGUUUUAUUCGAGAAAUCCAAUCGUCUGUGGAGCUGCUUUAUCUCAGUAAACCCAUAACCCUGACAAGAUGCAAACAAAGCUUUUAAUAACCAUUCUUUGCCUUCUUGGUGCAGUAAGCCUCUGCAAAGGGCAGACAUCUCCCUCUCCCGCCCCAUCAGUUUCACCCUCAAUCAACCCUUCAGAGUCCAGUAGCACAGAGGGGCCGGGUGGGUCCACAGUUUCAGCCGCCACAAGUGGGUCCACUGUGGUUCCCACCACUGGCGCAGUGGCAGAUGAAGGACUGUCAGAUGGAGCCAUAGCGGGAAUUGUCAUCGGCUCCCUCGCAGGCGUGGCUGGUAUUGGCGGUGGAGUCUAUGGACUGCUGAAGUACACAGGAAGGAUCUGAGCACGGCUCGGGCGGCGGCAACUUCAAAGAAUCCCAGUAAAACAUCACAAAUAACCCAUUAACCCAGAGGACAACGAUACAAUGAAAUGCACAAUAAUAUUUUUUGUAGCAUACCCACACAAUGAUCAAAGAGUUUUAAAAUAGAAUAUGAAAUGUUUUAUUUGUUAAUAUCACAAAUCUUUGGAAGGUUUUUAAACAUGGAUACAACAGCAGGGCGUGCCAUACAGGGCCGCGAUCAACACCCAAUGCCUCUAAUCACAGUCGUGUAUUGAGCACCCCUGUUCUAAAUUACAAAGACAAUUCAAAAUGUAAAGGCCGACUUUUAGUUACAGGGAACAGCACAUCAGCUGUCAUAUUUAGCCAGCAAGGGUAUAUUUCUGUCUUUCUUUAAUCUCCUAGUGAAGAAAAAUGCUCAGCUUUGAGGGCAUCAGUUAUUUUAUCAUUUCACACACAAAGCACCUAUUCAGCAAUUGCAACAAAAUCCCUUUUUGUGCUGUGUUGCAUGUUAUCUUCAAUAUUCAGUGUAAAAAAACACAUUAUGACCACACCUUAGAUAAAACAUUGCUAUAACAGUGUCCUUCACAAUCAUUACAAAGCUAAAAAACAGUAAAUAAUUUUUAAUGCAGUGGAGUUUUGCACAUUUUAUACCACUUUGUUUCAAAUGAGAGUCAUGAUUAACGUGCAUUCUUUUUGGUUUUCCUUUCAAACAGUUUUGAUUAAAGCAAUGAUGUUGGUAGUACUACGGCAACGUAUAACUGAUGAUAGCACUUUACUGUGUAUAUCUGUACCCCUGUCUCGUGGGAGUAUGUACUGUACUGUAAAUUCUAAAUGCACAUGAAAAUAUUGGAUCAUGGCUUGAUGUUUAAAGUGGUUUUAAUUAAAAUAUAUUUUAGUUAAAUUACAAGUCUACAUAGUUGUCAUUGUGUCCUAUGCAACAUUACGUGUGAAUAUUUGUGAUACAAAAACCACACAUUUAUACUCCAGCACUGCAGGGUGAGUUGAUAUCCAUCAUGGAAAGUCUUACGUAAGCAGCUGGUUAAUUAUUGUUUGCAAUAAGUAAUUCCAGGAAACACAACGAUGACGGUAAAUAAAUCAAUUUGGAUUCAGCUCA